AUGGAGCUAGCAAUAUCUGCAGUAACAGGUGAGCUCGUGAGCCGAUUCGUCUCCUACCUCGCUGACAAGUACCGCUCGAGCCGCCGUGCAGAGUCAGGAGAGACACAGUUGAGGAGGCUGCAGCAACUCCUCCCCAGAGCCCGCUCCGUCGUUGAGGAGGCAGAUGGGCGGUACAUCACCAACUCCGGGAUGCUGGCGCAGCUCAACAUGCUCACGGACGCCAUGUACCGAGGCUACUGGGCGCUAGGGGCCUUUGGGUACAUGUCCCUUGAAGAGACAGAGACUAGUCCCAUGGAGGUUAGCAGCUCAUCUCCCCGCAAACGUCUCCGCACGGUUCAUGGCAGUGCUAGGAAGAACAAGGCCAUGUACCUUGCCGACCUUCAAGGUGUGGUGGAGAGCUUGGAGGAUGUCGUUGCUGGCUUGACGGAGUUUGUUGUUCUUUUGAGUGGAUGCGACCGUAUGCUGCGUCGACCAUAUGAUGCGUAUCUUUACAAUGACACCAUCAUGUUCGGACGCCACACCGAGAAGCAAAAGCUCCUGAACUUCAUGUUGCAGCACAGUUCAAGCUCGCCUGGUGGAACGCCGGCUGUUCUCCCGAUCAUCGGUGCUCCCGCGGUCGGGAAGAGGACUCUGGUGGCCCAUGUAUGCAAGGACGAGAGGGUCAGCUCACAUUUCUCCUCGAUUCUGCACCUGAAUGGAGACUCCUUCCGCAGAAUCGCAGACCAUGACCGGAGCUUCUUGCGAGGGAAGAUAGUGGUCGUUCUUGAGCUUGUCGCAGACGUCGACGAGAAGGAUUGGGCCGAGUUCUGCUCAACCUUGGCAAGCAUGGAUAGUGGAAGCAAGGUGAUCAUCAUCAGCCGGCUUAGAAGUACAGAGCGAUUCGGGACAGUGCGGCCGAUCUUCCUUAACACCCUGUCAUACGAGGAGUUCAGCUACCUCUUCAAGACACUCGCAUUCGGGAGCGCGAACCCGGCGCAUCACCCGCAGCUGGCACGGAUUGCAGAUGAAUUGGCCGAGGAGUUCCGCACGGAAUGUUCGCUCGUCGGCACAAACAUAUUCGCGGAUGUGAUGAGGAGGAAUCUGAACGUCCAUUUCUGGCUCGGCAUGCUGAGCAGGCUGAGAAGAUUUGCUGAGAGGAACGUCUCCAUGUUUGGGGAACACCCGAGGUUGCUCGUCGAGAGACGCCAUCAGAUAGAUGUUACGGACUUCGUCUUGCAUCCUGCUGCUUCUCCGCUCCGCAUCGUGCCUUCCUGCACCAGUGGCAGCAGCCGCACUGAGGUUACAGCGGAGAGGGCAUCGCUGCCGAGGGUGAGGCUUGGAGAUCUUGUGAUGGAUCCUGGAGUUCGGCCGCAAGGGGAUUUCAAUGUGGUUUCCUGGGAAUCAAGGUUGCCUCCUUACACUUCAUUUGUACAUUUUGUUCCAAAUGGAAAUUGUGCUCCAGGUUUGGCGAAACAGAGUACUCCCCUGUCUGGGAGGAAGCGUCCAGCAGUUGCUUUGUAA
Molecule: ribosomal RNA, 1500 nt
Filed under: Triticum aestivum (bread wheat)
Lineage: Eukaryota; Viridiplantae; Streptophyta; Magnoliopsida; Poales; Poaceae
Description: partial small subunit ribosomal RNA
Source: RNAcentral